This 60-nucleotide microRNA precursor is filed under the name Eptatretus burgeri (inshore hagfish). RNAcentral's name for it is "Ebu-Mir-23-P5_pre stem-loop". It matches the Rfam family "mir-23 microRNA precursor family", at positions 9 to 69 of the family's 73-position model. Lineage: Eukaryota; Metazoa; Chordata; Myxini; Myxiniformes; Myxinidae. The record is from RNAcentral.
GGGGUUCCUGGCAUCGUGAUUUGUGCUGCGAAGGAAAAUCACAUUGCCAGGGAUUACCAC